UAACCUGCCUCAUAGCGGGGAUAACUAUUGGAACCGAUAGCUAAUACCGCAUAAGAGUAAUUAACACAUGUUAGUUAUUUAAAAGGAGCAAUUGCUUCACUGUGAGAUGGACCUGCGUUGUAUUAGCUAGUUGGUGAGGUAAAGGCUCACCAAGGCGACGAUACAUAGCCGACCUGAGAGGGUGAUCGGCCACACUGGGACUGAGACACGGCCCAGACUCCUACGGGAGGCAGCAGAG
Molecule: ribosomal RNA, 238 nt
Filed under: uncultured Streptococcus sp.
Lineage: Bacteria; Bacillati; Bacillota; Bacilli; Lactobacillales; Streptococcaceae
Description: partial 16S ribosomal RNA
Rfam family: Bacterial small subunit ribosomal RNA
Source: RNAcentral